RNAcentral lists this non-coding RNA (103 nucleotides) under Sarcophilus harrisii (Tasmanian devil). RNAcentral describes it as "Eukaryotic large subunit ribosomal RNA". It matches the Rfam family "Eukaryotic large subunit ribosomal RNA", at positions 2881 to 2984 of the family's 3401-position model. Lineage: Eukaryota; Metazoa; Chordata; Mammalia; Dasyuromorphia; Dasyuridae. The record is from Rfam by way of RNAcentral.
AUGUUGGCUCUUUCUAUCAUUGUGAAGCAGAAUUCACAAGUAUUGCAUUGUUCACCCGCCAAUAGGGAACUUGAGCUGGGUUUAGACCAUUGUGAGAUAGGUU